CGGAUCCUGAUGUGUUCGUCCUAAUAUUGACGUUUUGACCGAACAUCAAUAUUUUCGGGAGCUUCUCGUUUCUAUAUGGCAUGCAUGCCUCGUUUAGUUGAGGACGCAUAAAAUAUAGAACUAAGCACCCACCUGCUAAGAGCGGGAUCAAAACUCAUGAAAAAUAGACGGCACAAUUGGGAUUCGA
Molecule: non-coding RNA, 187 nt
Filed under: Aquibacillus koreensis
Lineage: Bacteria; Bacillati; Bacillota; Bacilli; Caryophanales; Bacillaceae
Description: Virgibacillus koreensis 6S / SsrS RNA
Rfam family: 6S / SsrS RNA
About the family: E. coli 6S RNA was the first non coding RNA to be sequenced, but its function was unknown until recently. It consists of 184 nucleotides that fold into an extended hairpin structure with a large single-stranded internal bulge. The 6S RNA specifically associates with RNA polymerase holoenzyme containing the sigma70 specificity factor.
Source: Rfam by way of RNAcentral